UUGUCUUUGUUAUAAGAUUAUCUAUUACAAUCAAAGUUUUGUCAAUUCUUUUUCUACAAAAAAUGUGUAUCAAAAUUGUACAUAUAACAUUUUUUUUGCCCAAAGAGCAUUUAGUAUGAAAUCAUGAGUUUCAAAAAGCUAGUAUAAAUGUAGGAAACAAAAAAGAUGCAUUUUUGAUGUUGUCUGAAGAUUAGCUUUAAUAACAAUUAUAAAGUCAUUUGCUUUGAAUUUGUCAAAACUAUAUUAUAAAUCAUGGCUGGACUAAAGUAACAUCUAAUACCAGGUUGAUUUCAUUAUAUGUGAGGGCCUCAGUGAUUAUAAUGUUUUUUAACUAUAUGUGUUCAUUCUCUUUGAAUAAAUUAACCAUGUUGAAGGCCGUAUAUUGACCUAUAAUAGUUUAUUUUAUAAAUUGUUAUUUGGACGGAGAUUUGUCUCAUUGGCACUCACACCACAUCUUCCUAAAUCUAUUAUAAUUAAAAUGUUAUAUAAUACCUGCACUAUCUUAUGGCUAUCCAGCUUUUCACAGAAUAAGUUGAGCAUGAGGAGAAUUUGGACACUAAGAUGCACACAGAAUCAGAUAUAUAUGUCCUUGUUAUGUGUUCACUACUAUAGCAGUUCU
Molecule: long non-coding RNA, 619 nt
Filed under: Mytilus galloprovincialis (Mediterranean mussel)
Lineage: Eukaryota; Metazoa; Mollusca; Bivalvia; Mytilida; Mytilidae
Source: RNAcentral